Long non-coding RNA from Balaenoptera ricei (Rice's whale), 195 nucleotides. RefSeq lists it as uncharacterized. The record is from RefSeq and is a predicted model, not a curated record. Lineage: Eukaryota; Metazoa; Chordata; Mammalia; Artiodactyla; Balaenopteridae. The transcript is spliced from 2 exons.
CUGUUCAGAAGGUGCUUCGGUCUGGCACUUUGCGGUGCUGUGGGGUGAUUGGGAGAUCGGCGUUGGUUGAAAAUCACCUGAGGCUUUGGCCGUGGCCGCAGGAUACCUGGAUGCUCAGAGCCUGAGGCCGACGACGCCAUGACCGCGGGGGAAGGAGGGCUCUGCUUUCGUUUUUCAAUAAAGCUGUUGAUCUAA